RNAcentral lists this ribosomal RNA (468 nucleotides) under uncultured bacterium. RNAcentral describes it as "partial 16S ribosomal RNA". It matches the Rfam family "Bacterial small subunit ribosomal RNA", at positions 28 to 507 of the family's 1533-position model. The record is from RNAcentral.
GACGAACGCUGGCGGCGUGCUUAACACAUGCAAGUCGAACGGAAAGGCCCUGCUUUUGCGGGGUGCUCGAGUGGCGAACGGGUGAGUAACACGUGAGUAACCUGCCCCUGACUUUGGGAUAACAUCAGGAAAAUGGGGCUAAUACCGGAUAGGAGCUCCUGCUGCAUGGUGGGGGUUGGAAAGUUUCGGCGGUUGGGGCUGGACUCGCGGCUUAUCAGCUUGUUGGUGGGGUAGUGGCUUACAAAGGCUUUGACGGGUAGCCGGCCUGAGAGGGUGACCGGCCUCCUUGGGACUGAGAUACGGCCCAGAAUCCUACGUGAGGCAGCAGUGGGGAAUAUUGCACAAUGGGCGGAAGCCUGAUGCAGCAGCGCCGCGUGCGGGAUGACGGCCUUCGGGUUGUAAACCGCUUUCGCAGGUGCCGAAGCGUGAGUGACGGUAAUGGGUAAAGAAGCACCGGCUAACUACGUG